UACGUAGGGUGCAAGCGUUAAUCGGAAUUACUGGGCGUAAAGGGCGCGUAGGCGGCCUGCUAAGUCGAACGUGAAAUCCCUGGGCUCAACCCAGGAACUGCGUCCGAUACUGGUUGGCUUGAAUCCGGGAGAGGGAUGUGGAAUUCCAGGUGUAGCGGUGAAAUGCGUAGAUAUCUGGAGGAACACCGGUGGCGAAGGCGACAUCCUGGACCGGUAUUGACGCUG
RNAcentral lists this ribosomal RNA (225 nucleotides) under uncultured prokaryote. RNAcentral describes it as "partial 16S ribosomal RNA". It matches the Rfam family "Bacterial small subunit ribosomal RNA", at positions 524 to 748 of the family's 1533-position model. The record is from RNAcentral.